GGACUACCGGGGUAUCUAAUCCUGUUUGCUCCCCACGCUUUCGCAGUUGAGUGUCAGUUCCUGUCCAGGCCGCCGCUUUCGCCUCUGGUAUUCCUCCCGAUCUCUACGCAUUUCACCGCUACACCGGGAAUUCCGCGACCCUCUCCAGGACUCUAGUCUCGCCGUUUCUGAGGCAGUUCCUAGGUUAAGCCCAGGGAUUUCACCUCAGACAAACGAGACCACCUACUUGCCCUUUACGCCCAAUGAUUCCGAGCAACGCUUGCACCCUCUGUAUUACCGCGGCUGCUGGCAC
RNAcentral lists this ribosomal RNA (292 nucleotides) under uncultured bacterium. RNAcentral's name for it is "partial 16S ribosomal RNA". The record is from RNAcentral.